Molecule: ribosomal RNA, 298 nt
Filed under: Zorotypus novobritannicus
Lineage: Eukaryota; Metazoa; Arthropoda; Insecta; Zoraptera; Zorotypidae
Description: partial 12S ribosomal RNA
Source: RNAcentral
UAAACUAAAAGAAUUUGGCGGCAAUUUAAUUUUUUAGAGGAACUUGUUCCGUAAUCGAUAAUCCUCGCUUAAUAUACUUAAGCAUAAUAGCUUAUAUACCGUUGUUAUAAGAAUAUGUUUUUAGACUAUUUUCUUGAUAUCGUUAAGAUAUAAUUUCAGAUCAAGGUUUAGUUUAUACUUAAGAGAGAAUGAGUUACAAUAAGGGUAUUUAUACGGAAUUUUUUAUUAUAAAAAGAGGAAGGUGGAUUUGAGAGUAAAAAGAUAAUUAAGGUUAGUUGAAGUUAAGUCUAAUUUGUGC